AGAGUUUGAUCAUGGCUCAGGACUAACGCUGGCGGCGUUUCUUAGACAUGCAAGCCGAACGGAAAUUGGUUUGUAGUUGUUAGUGAUUAGUUUGUAGUUUUCUAUAGACUAUGAACUUUUAACUAUGAACUGAUUUUAGUGGCGAACGGGUGAGUAACACGUGAGUAAUCUGCCAUCAAGAAAAGAAUAACCUGUUGAAAAAUGGGCUAAUACUUUAUGAUGUCUCAAUUUGAGAUGGUUGAGAUCAAAGGGUGGCCUCUGCUUGCAAGCUAUCGCUUGAUGAUGAGCUCGCGUCCUAUCAGCCAGUUGGUGAGGUAAUGGCUUACCAAAGCGAAGACGGGUAGCCGGCCUGAGAGGGCGAGCGGUCACACUGGAACUGAGAUACGGUCCAGACUCCUACGGGGGGCAGCAGUCUAGAAAAUUGCGCAAUGGGUGAAAGCCUGACGCAGUGACGCCGCGUGGAGGAUGAAGGCUUUCGAGUUGUAAACUCCUGUUAGAGAAGACGAAGGUUUUGAAUAUGAAUAAUAUUCAGGACUGACGGUAUUUUCAGAGGAAGCUCCGGCUAACUCCGUGCCAGCAGCCGCGGUAAAACGGAGGGAGCGAGCGUUGUCCGAAAUUACUGGGCGUAAAGGGGAUGUAGGUGUCCCGAUAAGUUGAAUGUGAAAUCCCUCUGCUUAACAGAGGAACUGCAUUCAAAACUAUUGGGAUUGAGCACGGGAGAGGAAAGUGGAACUCUCGGUGGAGCGGUGGAAUGCGUAGAUAUCGAGAGGAAUGCCAGUAGCGAAAGGCGUCUUUCUGGUCCGUUGCUGACACUGAGGUCCGAAAGCUGGGGGAGCGAACAGGAUUAGAUACCCUGGUAGUCCCAGCCGUAAAC
RNAcentral lists this ribosomal RNA (874 nucleotides) under uncultured bacterium. RNAcentral describes it as "bacterial SSU rRNA". It matches the Rfam family "Bacterial small subunit ribosomal RNA", at positions 8 to 807 of the family's 1533-position model. The record is from RNAcentral.